CUUAGUGAUUUUAGCGGUGGGGGUACACCCGUUCCCAUUCCGAACACGGAAGUUAAGCCCACCAGCGUCGAUGGUACUUGGCGGGCAACUGCCUGGGAGAGUAGAUCAUUGCUAAGG
Molecule: ribosomal RNA, 117 nt
Filed under: bacterium
Lineage: Bacteria
Source: RNAcentral